Molecule: ribosomal RNA, 2208 nt
Filed under: marine metagenome
Description: bacterial LSU rRNA
Rfam family: Bacterial large subunit ribosomal RNA
Source: RNAcentral
AGGGCGUAUGGGGAAUGCCUAGGCUCUCAGAGGCGAAGAAGGACGUGAUAAGCUGCGAAAAGCUGCGGGGAAUGGCACAUACAUUGUGAUGCAGAUAUCCGAAUGGGGCAACCCACUAUAUUGAAGAUAUAGUAUCCGCAAGGAAACAAACCCGGGGAACUGAAACAUCUAAGUACCCGGAGGAGAAGAAAACAAAAGUGAUUCCGCUAGUAGUGGCGAGCGAACGCGGAAUAGCCCAAACCAGUGUUGUUACGGCAAUACUGGGGUUGUAGGACUGCGAUAUUGGUUGUGUAAUGAAUUAGAAUCCUUUGGAAAGAGGAACCAUAGAGGGUGAUAGUCCCGUAUAAGUAAAGAUCAUUAACCAUAGCAGUAUCCUGAGUAGUGCGGGACACGUGUAAUCCUGUAUGAAUUUGGCGGGACCAUCCGCUAAGGCUAAAUACUCCUGAGAGACCGAUAGUGAACUAGUACCGUGAGGGAAAGGUGAAAAGAACCCUGAAUAAGGGAGUGAAAUAGAUCCUGAAACCAUACGCUUACAAGCGGUCGGAGCCCUUUGGGGUGACGGCGUGCCUUUUGCAUAAUGAGCCUACGAGUUACCGUUGCUAGCAAGGUUAAGGACUUCAGGUCCGGAUCCGUAGCGAAAGCGAGUCUGAAUAGGGCGCUUUAGUUAGUAGUGGUAGACGCGAAACCGUGUGAUCUACCCAUGGGCAGGUUGAAGCUGUAGUAACAUAUAGUGGAGGACCGAACCCGUUGACGUUGAAAAGUCUUGGGAUGACCUGUGGGUAGGGGUGAAAGGCCAAUCAAACUCGGAAAUAGCUCGUACUCCCCGAAAUGCAUUUAGGUGCAGCGUUGUAUUAGUUUCAUAGAGGUAGAGCUACUGAUUGGAUGCGGGGCCUUCACCGGCUACCAAUUCCUGACAAACUCCGAAUGCUAUGAAAUGAUGUACAGCAGUGAGGGCAUGGGUGCUAAGGUCCAUGUCCGAGAGGGAAAGAACCCAGACCAUCAGCUAAGGUCCCCAAAUAUAUACUAAGUUGUUUAAACGUUGUGCGAUUGCAUAGACAGCUAGGAUGUUGGCUUGGAAGCAGCCAUUCAUUUAAAGAGUGCGUAACAGCUCACUAGUCGAGCGGUUCGGCAUGGAUAAUAAUCGGGCAUAAACAUACUACCGAAGCUAUGGAUUUGUAUUUAUACAAGUGGUAGGGGAGCAUUGUAGUGUCGUCGAAGGUGAAGCGUGAGCUUUGCUGGAGAAGCUACAAAAGAAAAUGUAGGCAUAAGUAACGAUAAUGCGGGCGAGAAACCCGCACUCCGAAAGACUAAGGUUUCCUCAGCUAUGCUAAUCAGCUGAGGGUUAGUCGGGACCUAACGCGAACCCGAAAGGGGUAGUGGAUGGACAACAGGUUAAUAUUCCUGUACCUGCUCACACUAAAAGUGACGGAGGCGAAAAGUUAGUGCGUACUGACGGAAUAGUACGUUGAAGCCAGUGGUAACACGGCAAUAGUACACUGAGGCUACGGUCAAGGUGAUAAUCUAGCAAAUCGACUUCCAAGAAAAGCGAGUGAAGCAGCCCGUACCCUAAACCGACACAGGUGGUUGGGAUGAGAAUUCUAAGGAGCUCGAGAGAUUCAUGGCUAAGGAACUAGGCAAAAUCGACGCGUAACUUCGGGAGAAGCGUCGCCCAUCUUCGGAUGGGCCGCAGUGAAGAGGUCCAGGCGACUGUUUAUCAAAAACACAGGGCUAUGCUAAAUCGAAAGAUGAUGUAUAUGGCCUGACACCUGCCCGGUGCCGGAAGGUUAAGAGGAGAUGUUAGCUUCGGCGAAGCAUUGAAUUGAAGCCCCAGUAAACGGCGGCCGUAACUAUAACGGUCCUAAGGUAGCGAAAUUCCUUGUCGGGUAAGUUCCGACCUGCACGAAUGGUGUAACGAUCUGGGCACUGUCUCAGCCAUGAGCUCGGUGAAAUUGUAGUAACGGUGAAGAUGCCGUUUACCCGCUGUGGGACGAAAAGACCCCGUGAACCUUUACUAUAGCUUAGUAUUGGCUUUGGAUAAGUAAUGUGUAGGAUAGGUGGGAGACUUUGAAGCGGCGUCGCCAGGCGUUGUGGAGUCAUUGUUGAAAUACCACCCUUUGCUUAUCUAGAGUCUAACUUUCACUGAAAGGACAGUGCUUGGUGGGUAGUUUGACUGGGGUGGUCGCCUCCAAAAGAGUAACGGAGGCUUCU